This 257-nucleotide ribosomal RNA is filed under the name uncultured bacterium. RNAcentral describes it as "partial 16S ribosomal RNA". It matches the Rfam family "Bacterial small subunit ribosomal RNA", at positions 99 to 353 of the family's 1533-position model. The record is from RNAcentral.
CGGACGGGUGAGUAACGCGUGGGUAACCUACCCUGUACAGGGGGAUAACAGUCAGAAAUGACUGCUAAUACCGCAUAAGACCACAGCACCGCAUGGUGCAGGGGUAAAAACUACCGGUGGUACAGGAUGGACCCGCGUCUGAUUAGCUGGUUGGUGAGGUAACGGCUCACCAAGGCGACGAUCAGUAGCCGGCUUGAGAGAGUGAACGGCCACAUUGGGACUGAGACACGGCCCAAACUCCUACGGGAGGCAGCAUG